RNAcentral lists this ribosomal RNA (100 nucleotides) under Gastrostomobdella monticola. RNAcentral describes it as "partial 16S ribosomal RNA". Lineage: Eukaryota; Metazoa; Annelida; Clitellata; Hirudinida; Gastrostomobdellidae. The record is from RNAcentral.
UACAUUAUAGUAUAAAUAAUAUAUUUAUCAAUAGUAAGAAUCUUAAUUAUUGAAAAUAAGUAUAGCAAUAGAAAUAAUCAUAUUAAUAAGUAUAUUUUAU